RNAcentral lists this ribosomal RNA (429 nucleotides) under Acidobacteriota bacterium. RNAcentral describes it as "Acidobacteria bacterium partial 16S ribosomal RNA". It matches the Rfam family "Bacterial small subunit ribosomal RNA", at positions 355 to 776 of the family's 1533-position model. The record is from RNAcentral. Lineage: Bacteria; Pseudomonadati; Acidobacteriota.
UGGGGAAUUUUGGACAAUGGGGGAAACCCUGAUCCAGCCAUCCCGCGUGUGCGAUGAAGGCCUUCGGGUUGUAAAGCACUUUUGGCAGGAAAGAAACGUCAUGGGUUAAUACCCCGUGAAACUGACGGUACCUGCAGAAUAAGCACCGGCUAACUACGUGCCAGCAGCCGCGGUAAUACGUAGGGUGCAAGCGUUAAUCGGAAUUACUGGGCGUAAAGCGUGCGCAGACGGUUCGGAAAGAAAGAUGUGAAAUCCCAGAGCUCAACUUUGGAACUGCAUUUUUAACUACCGGGCUAGAGUGUGUCAGAGGGAGGUGGAAUUCCGCGUGUAGCAGUGAAAUGCGUAGAUAUGCGGAGGAACACCGAUGGCGAAGGCAGCCUCCUGGGAUAACACUGACGCUCAUGCACGAAAGCGUGGGGAGCAAACAGG